AAAAAAGUUGCUGGACGAGACAACCUUUUAUGACAAGCAAUGGCAGGCAACCUGGCAAGAUGAGACCCCUAGUAGUUCCAAAACUGAGUAGCUAGAUUUUAUGAAGUUUUUAAUCGUGUAUUUGCAGAGGGCAAUAUGAUUUUAAUUUGGAUCCCACUUUAGUCAAGCUUUUCUUGAGGUUUGCACGCAUAUCAUGUUUCCUUCAUGAAUUUGAUGCUUGUGAAAUAAUUGUUGAUGACAAAUCUAGAAUCAGAUGUUGAUGUAGCUGAA
Molecule: unclassified non-coding RNA, 270 nt
Filed under: Hevea brasiliensis (rubber tree)
Lineage: Eukaryota; Viridiplantae; Streptophyta; Magnoliopsida; Malpighiales; Euphorbiaceae
Source: RNAcentral